Long non-coding RNA from Mesocricetus auratus (golden hamster), 1007 nucleotides. RefSeq lists it as uncharacterized. The record is from RefSeq and is a predicted model, not a curated record. Lineage: Eukaryota; Metazoa; Chordata; Mammalia; Rodentia; Cricetidae. The transcript is spliced from 5 exons.
CGAACCGCAGCACAGCUGUAGGGCGGCUGGCGUCCCUGAGCAUGACUCUCCUUUGGAUGUUCCCUGCUUAUUUUAGUUAAGAAGAGCAUCACGAGACUGUGACGCCCUCUUAGCUGGACUCAGGUGACGUCCGCCUCUUGAAGCAGUGAACUGAUGCGUCUGACUUUGGGCUUUGCAGCUGGGGUGUAUGGGUGACCCUGCUUGCUUCAAUGACAUCCCCCAGCAAGCCGUGGAUGUGCUCAUUUAAUCCAGCAGUGUUUGCUGAGCAUACCAUCUGUGCCAGGCACUAGGCCAAAGGCUGGCAAACAGCGCACAGGCUUGCCCACGAAGCCCCACGGUCGCGCCACCGCCAUCCUGGUCCUCUCUACACCACGCAGCUCAUACCCCACAGCGACACCAGCUUCCUGGCAGAGGCCUGUCCUGGCCACAGAGAGUCCCACUCAGGGGUCUGAAAAGAGAGGCACGGUCCCGCAUGUACUGAUUCAAAAACACAGAAGACAAGGAAGCAUCAGGUUUGUGGCUGUUGUCAUUUCCUCCUGGAAAUUCGCCCGGAAUGAUAAGUCCCAGUUCGGGUACCUACAGGUCGGGCUCUGGAGCACACCCCCGCCCCCAGGCAAACAGAGAAGCUAAGUAAAGACCAGCUCAGGCCUCUCCCCCUGCAAAGCCCGCCUUGCUGUUGCCAAUGGAAGUAGAAAACACGAAAAAAGCUCUGGAGAAGAAACUGAACAUCAAAACAGCCUGUCUUAGACUCCCAACUGUGCAAGCGGAGUGCUAUUGUAGAGAGAUUUAACUGUGGUUCCCGGACCACAGUUAAAUUCAAGGCUGGUGCUUUUGAGUGCAAGGGAUGGAGCCCGGGGCCCUGUGCAAGCAUGCUUGGCCAGCCUUCUACCACUGAGCUUCGUGUCCAGCCCUGUUAUUGAGGCAUACUAUCUACUCAAGAAGGCCCACAGGUCUGCAAGUUCAGCUCGAGGGCUCUGCGGUGCUCAACCAGCACAAACAUCUCACAG